AUUGAACGCUGGCGGCAUGCCUUACACAUGCAAGUCGAACGGCAGCAUAGAGAGCUUGCUCUCUGAUGGCGAGUGGCGAACGGGUGAGUAAAGCAUCGGAACGUACCGUGUAGUGGGGGAUAACGUAGCGAAAGUUACGCUAAUACCGCAUACGUACUGAGGUAGAAAGCAGGGGAUCGUAAGACCUUGCGCUAUACGAGCGGCCGAUGUCAGAUUAGCUAGUGGGUAGGGUAAAGGCCUACCAAGGCGACGAUCUGUAGCGGGUCUGAAAGGAUGAUCCGCCAAACUGGGACUGAGACACGGCCCAGACUCCUACGGGGGGCAGCAGUGGGGAAUUUUGGACAAGUGGGGCAACCCUGAUCCGGCCAUGCCGCGUGAGUGAAGAAGGCCUUCGGGUUGUAAAGCUCUUUCGGCCGGGAAGAAAUCGCACAGGCUAAUACCCUGUGUGGAUGACGGUACCGGCAUAAGAAGCACCGGCUAACUACGUGCCAGCCGCCGCCGUAA
Molecule: ribosomal RNA, 504 nt
Filed under: uncultured bacterium
Lineage: Bacteria
Description: partial 16S ribosomal RNA
Rfam family: Bacterial small subunit ribosomal RNA
Source: RNAcentral